AGAGUUUGAUCCUGGCUCAGGAUGAACGCUAGCUACAGGCUUAACACAUGCAAGUCGAGGGGAAACGACAUCGAAAGCUUGCUUUUGAUGGGCGUCGACCGGCGCACGGGUGAGUAACGCGUAUCCAACCUGCCCAUCACUUGGGGAUAACCUUGCGAAAGUAAGACUAAUACCCAAUGACGUCUCUAGAAGACAUCUGAAAGAGAUUAAAGAUUUAUCGGUGAUGGAUGGGGAUGCGUCUGAUUAGCUUGGUUGGCGGGGUAACGGCCACCAAGGCGACGAUCAGUAGGGGUUCUGAGAGGAAGGUCCCCCACAUUGGAACUGAGACACGGUCCAAACUCCGUACGGAGGCA
This 353-nucleotide ribosomal RNA is filed under the name uncultured bacterium. Its description in RNAcentral is "bacterial SSU rRNA". It matches the Rfam family "Bacterial small subunit ribosomal RNA", at positions 8 to 350 of the family's 1533-position model. The record is from RNAcentral.